This 376-nucleotide long non-coding RNA is filed under the name Linum usitatissimum (flax). RNAcentral describes it as "long non-coding RNA (LUSI_LNC008230)". Lineage: Eukaryota; Viridiplantae; Streptophyta; Magnoliopsida; Malpighiales; Linaceae. The record is from RNAcentral.
GACUGAUCUAGACGUGGUGUGGUGGAGGAGGUGAAGCAUAGAUGUAAUGCGGAGGUGGCUUGUGCACCGGCGGCGGCGGUGACUUGUACUUGUAAACCGGUGGCGGUGGUGACUUAUAGACCGGUGGUGGUGGUGGAGACUUGUACUUGUAUGGCUUUGUUGGUGGAGGAGGCGACUUGUACACCGGUGGCGGUGGUGACUUGUACUUGUAAACCGGAGUUGGUGGUGGUGGUGACUUGUACACUGGUGGAGGCGGUGAUUUGUAUUUGUACAUCGGCGUGGGUGGUGGUGGUGACUUGUACACCGGUGGCGGUGGCGACUUGUACUUGUACACCGGAGUCGGAGGUGGGGGUGGAGAUUUAUAAUUGUAUGGUUU